GAAUAUUGGACAAUGGGGGGAACCCUGAUCCAGCCAUGCCGCGUGUGUGAAGAAGGCCUUUUGGUUGUAAAGCACUUUAAGCGAGGAGGAGGCUACUCUAGUUAAUACCUAGAGAUCGUGGACGUUACUAGCAGAAUAAGCACCGGCUACCUCUGUGCCAGCAGCCGCGGUAAUACAGAGGGUGCACGCGUUAAUCGGAUUUACUGGGCGUAAAGCGCGCGUCGGUGGCGAAUUAAGUCAAAUGUGAAAUCCCCGAGCUUAACUUGGGAAUUGCAUUCGAUACUGGUUGGCUAGAGUAUGGGAGAGAAUGGUAGAAUUCCAGGUGGAGCGGUGAAAUGCGUAGAGAUCUGGAGGAAUACCGAUGGCGAAGGCAGCCAUCUGGCCUAAUACUGACACUGAGGUGCGAAAGCAUGGGGAGCAAAC
Molecule: ribosomal RNA, 423 nt
Filed under: uncultured bacterium
Lineage: Bacteria
Description: bacterial SSU rRNA
Rfam family: Bacterial small subunit ribosomal RNA
Source: RNAcentral